GUAAAUUGUUAACCAAGGGUGGAAAGUGAACCAUAUCACCCGAGAUAUUUUGGCGCCCGAACAAAUUCGAGGGUGAGAUGGUUACUUUUACCCGAGUUAAACACUCUACUUUUCAUUUCGACUAUGAGGAAAGUCAAACACGAGAAAUGUAGGUU
Molecule: long non-coding RNA, 155 nt
Organism: Cydia splendana
Lineage: Eukaryota; Metazoa; Arthropoda; Insecta; Lepidoptera; Tortricidae
Exons: 2
Source: RefSeq, a predicted model, not a curated record